RNAcentral lists this long non-coding RNA (629 nucleotides) under Ananas comosus (pineapple). RNAcentral describes it as "long non-coding RNA (ACOM_LNC012175)". The record is from RNAcentral. Lineage: Eukaryota; Viridiplantae; Streptophyta; Magnoliopsida; Poales; Bromeliaceae.
CGUUUGGUUCAGAAAUAAAUAGUACCUAGUUAUACCGAAAAUAGAUAGAAUAUAAAUUUUUAAUAAGAACAAAAGUAUUUUAUUAUUUGGAUGAAAAUAUAAGUAUAAUAUAAAACUAGAAAAAUUAUAUUUGGAUGGUUAUUGAAAAUAAGAAGAAUAGUUGUUAGUUAUAAAUAGAAAAUAAUGAUAUUAUCUCUAUAAUUAAAUUUAAAUUUUUAAAUUUUAAACUUAUAAUUUUAAAUUAAAAAUUAAAAAUUUUAACUUUUAAAUUUUAAAUUUUGAAAUUAUAAUUUCAAAUAUCAAAUUUUAAAUUUAAGACCAAAUUUAAAUUUUAAAGAUAUAAAAUAGCAAAUUUAAAAUUUAAAAACUAAACAUAUCAAAUUUAUAAUUUAAAAUUUAAAAAUAUCAAAUUUAAAAUUUAAACUUUAAAAUUUAUAAUUUUAAAUUAUAAAUUUAAAUUUUAAAAUUAUAAAUUUUAAGAAUUUAAAUUUAAAUUUAAAAUAAAAAUCUCUCUCUCUCUCUACCCAAGUGGGUGGGAACUAGCUUGGCCGAGUGGGAACUAUUGUUUCUACCUUACUCCGGUAAGGUGAGAACAAUAGUUCCCACCAUACCCCAAUUUUUGUUUGGGU